UGUCGGGAUAGCUCAGC
Molecule: transfer RNA, 17 nt
Filed under: Kaisupeea orthocarpa
Lineage: Eukaryota; Viridiplantae; Streptophyta; Magnoliopsida; Lamiales; Gesneriaceae
Description: partial tRNA-Phe
Source: RNAcentral